AUUGAACGCUGGCGGCAGGCCUAACACAUGCAAGUCGAACGGUAACAGGAAGAAGCUUGCUUCUUUGCUGACGAGUGGCGGACGGGUGAGUAAUGUCUGGGAAACUGCCUGAUGGAGGGGGAUAACUACUGGAAACGGUAGCUAAUACCGCAUAACGUCGCAAGACCAAAGAGGGGGACCUUCGGGCCUCUUGCCAUCGGAUGUUCCCAGAUGGGAUUAGCUAGUAGGUGGGGUAACGGCUCACCUAGGCGACGAUCCCUAGCUGGUCUGAGAGGAUGACCAGCCACACUGGAACUGAGACACGGUCCAGACUCCUACGGGAGGCAGCAGUGGGGAAUAUUGCAAUGGGCGCAAGCCUGAUGCAGCCAUGCCGCGUGUAUGAAGAAGGCCUUCGGGUUGUAAAGUACUUUCAGCGGGGAGGAAGGGAGUAAAGUUAAUACCUUUGCUCAUUGACGUUACCCGCAGAAGAAGCACCGGCUAACUCCGUG
This 488-nucleotide ribosomal RNA is filed under the name uncultured bacterium. Its description in RNAcentral is "partial 16S ribosomal RNA". It matches the Rfam family "Bacterial small subunit ribosomal RNA", at positions 30 to 507 of the family's 1533-position model. The record is from RNAcentral.